RNAcentral lists this ribosomal RNA (1372 nucleotides) under uncultured Pelagibacterales bacterium. Its description in RNAcentral is "bacterial SSU rRNA". It matches the Rfam family "Bacterial small subunit ribosomal RNA". The record is from RNAcentral. Lineage: Bacteria; Pseudomonadati; Pseudomonadota; Alphaproteobacteria; Candidatus Pelagibacterales.
UAAUACAUGCAAGUCGAACGAAGUAGCAAUACUUAGUGGCAGACGGGUGAGUAACAUGUAGGUAUCUACCCUUUGGCCUGGAAUAACACGAGGAAACUUGUGCUAAUACCGGAUAAGUCUUUACGGAGAAAGCUUUAUGCACCAUUGGAUGAGCCUGCACUUGAUUAGUUUGUUGGUGGGGUAAUGGCCUACCAAGACUGUGAUCAAUAGCUGAUUUGAGAGGAUGAUCAGCCACAUUGGGACUGAGACACGGCCCAAACUCCUACGGGAGGCAGCAGUAGGGAAUCUUGCACAAUGGAGGAAACUCUGAUGCAGCGAUGCCGCGUGAGUGAAGAAGGCCUUUGGGUUGUAAAGCUCUUUCGUCGGGUUAAGAAAAUGACUGUACCCGAAUAAGAAGGUCCGGCUAACUUCGUGCCAGCAGCCGCGGUAAUACGAAGGGACCUAGCGUAGUUCGGAAUUACUGGGCUUAAAGAGUUCGUAGGUGGUUAAAAAAGUUGGUGGUGAAAGCCCAGAGCUUAACUCUGGAACUGCCAUCAAAACUUUUUAGCUAGAGUAUGAUAGAGGAAAGCAGAAUUUCUAGUGUAGAGGUGAAAUUCGUAGAUAUUAGAAAGAAUACCGAUUGCGAAGGCGGCUUUCUGGAUCAUUACUGACACUGAGGAACGAAAGCAUGGGUAGCGAAGAGGAUUAGAUACCCUCGUAGUCCAUGCCGUAAACGAUGUGUGUUAGACGUUGGAAAUUUAUUUUCAGUGUCGCAGCGAAAGCGAUAAACACACCGCCUGGGGAGUACGACCGCAAGGUUAAAACUCAAAUGAAUUGACGGGGACCCGCACAAGUAGUGGAGCAUGUGGUUUAAUUCGAAGAUACGCGCAGAACCUUACCAACACUUGACAUGUUCGUCGCGACUCUAAGAGAUUAGAGUUCUGUCGCCGACGAAACACAGGUGCUGCAUGGCUGUCGUCAGCUCGUGUCGUGAGAUGUUGGGUUAAGUCCCGCAACGAGCGCAACCCUCACUUUUAGUUGCCAUCAUUAAGUUGGGCACUCUGAAAGAACUGCCAGUGAUAAGCUGGAGGAAGGUGGGGAUGACGUCAAGUCCUCAUGGCCCUUACGUGUUGGGCUACACACGUGCUACAAUGGCGUCUACAACAGGAAGCAAAACGGCAACGUUAAGCAAAUCCCAAAAAGAUGCCUCAGUUCGGAUUGCACUCUGCAACUCGAGUGCAUGAAGCCGGAAUUACUAGUAAUCGUGGAUCAGCGUGCCACGGUGAAUGCGUUCCCGGGUCUUGUACACACCGCCCGUCACACCAUGGGAGUUGGUUCUACCUUAAGGCAAGGUUUUAAACCCUUGACCACGGUAUAGUCAGCGACUGGGGUG